RNAcentral lists this ribosomal RNA (500 nucleotides) under uncultured bacterium. Its description in RNAcentral is "partial 16S ribosomal RNA". It matches the Rfam family "Bacterial small subunit ribosomal RNA", at positions 30 to 523 of the family's 1533-position model. The record is from RNAcentral.
AUUGAACGCUGGCGGCAGGCUUAACACAUGCAAGUCGAGCGGGGGAAGGUAGCUUGCUACUGGACCUAGCGGCGGACGGGUGAGUAAUGCUUAGGAAUCUGCCUAUUAGUGGGGGACAACAUCUCGAAAGGGAUGCUAAUACCGCAUACGUCCUACGGGAGAAAGCAGGGGAUCUUCGGACCUUGCGCUAAUAGAUGAGCCUAAGUCGGAUUAGCUAGUUGGGGGGGUAAAGGCCUACCAAGGCGACGAGCUGUAGCGGGUCUGGGAGGAUGGUCCGCCACACUGGGACUGGGACACGGCCCAGACUCCUACGGGAGGCAGCAGUGGGGAAUAUUGGACAAUGGGGGAACCCUGAUCCAGCCAUGCCGCGUGUGUGAAGAAGGCCUUAUGGUUGUAAAGCACUUUAAGCGAGGAGGAGGCUACUCUAGUUAAUACCUAGGGAUAGUGGACGUUACUCGCAGAAUAAGCACCGGCUAACUCUGUGCCAGCCGCCGCCGUAA